GCGACCGUAGUCUACCGGUUAUGAUUCCAGAUUGCCAAUCUGGCGGACCGGGUUCAAUUCCCGGCGGUCGCA
RNAcentral lists this transfer RNA (72 nucleotides) under Microcaldota archaeon. RNAcentral's name for it is "tRNA-Gly". It matches the Rfam family "tRNA". From Rfam's summary of the family: Transfer RNA (tRNA) molecules are approximately 80 nucleotides in length. Their secondary structure includes four short double-helical elements and three loops (D, anti-codon, and T loops). Lineage: Archaea; Nanobdellati; Microcaldota. The record is from RNAcentral. RNAcentral also lists the same sequence under 1 other name.